AAUGAACGUUGGCGGCGUGGAUUAGGCAUGCAAGUCGCGCGAGAAGUUUCCUUCGGGAGACGGACAGCGGCGGAAGGGAGAGGAAUAAGUAGAAAUCCGCCCUCGGGACGGGGAUAGCGGCGGGAAACUGCCGGUAAUACCCGAUAACAUCUUUGGAUCAAAUGGUGUGAUUCCGCCUGAGGAUGAGUCUACUUCCUAUUAGCUAGUUGGUGUGGUAAUGGCUCACCAAGGCAACGAUGGGUAGCGGGUGUGAGAGCACGAUCCGCCUCACUGGGACUGAGACACUGCCCAGACACCUACGGGUGGCUGCAGUCGAGAAUCUUCGGCAAUGGGGGAAACCCUGACCGAGCGACGCCGCGUGCGGGAUGAAGGCCCUCGGGUUGUAAACCGCUGUCGUAAGGGAACAAAUCUAAGAGGGUACUCCCUUUUAGUUGAGUGAUCUUAGGAGGAAGGACGGGCUAAGUUCGUG
RNAcentral lists this ribosomal RNA (469 nucleotides) under uncultured bacterium. Its description in RNAcentral is "bacterial SSU rRNA". It matches the Rfam family "Bacterial small subunit ribosomal RNA", at positions 29 to 507 of the family's 1533-position model. The record is from RNAcentral.